Molecule: ribosomal RNA, 305 nt
Filed under: uncultured bacterium
Lineage: Bacteria
Description: bacterial SSU rRNA
Rfam family: Bacterial small subunit ribosomal RNA
Source: RNAcentral
UUGGUCCUCGGGGGGCAGCAGUAGGGAAUUUUCGUCAAUGGGCGCAAGCCUGAACGAGCGAUGCCGCGUGAGUGAAGAAGGCCUUCGGGUCGUAAAGCUCUGUUGCGGGGGAAAAAAGGCAGCAUCAGGAAAUGGGUGCUGACUGAUGGUGCCCCGCCAGAAAGUCACGGCUAACUACGUGCCAGCAGCCGCGGUAAUACGUAUGGGGCAAGCGUUAUCCGGAUUUACUGGGGGUAAAGGGAGCGUAGGCGGCCUGGCAAGCCUGAUGUGAAAUACCGGGGCCCAACCCCGGGGCUGCAUUGGGG